This is a non-coding RNA of Suillus americanus, 81 nucleotides long. The record is from the annotation of a GenBank genome assembly. Lineage: Eukaryota; Fungi; Basidiomycota; Agaricomycetes; Boletales; Suillaceae.
AGAGUCAUGGCCAAGUUGUUACAUAACAGAUUCAAAAUCUGUUCCUCCCUCAUGGUGCAGGUUCGAAACCUGCUGACAAUA